GUCGAUUUGUAACAGGGUAGCAAUACCGCUGUUUAGUGGCGCUUUGGUGCGUAUUUCGUAUGCAACUCACCCUCAACAGGGGAAUAGCUCAGAGAAAUCUGAAUUAAUACCGCAUAAUAUAGUGAGUGGGCAUCCAUUGAGAACUAUCAAACCUUCGGGGGUUAAAGAUGAGCAUGCGUAUCAUUAGCUAGUUGGUGAGGUAAUGGCUCACCAAGGCUUUUAUGAUUAGGGGGUCUGAGAGGAUGAUCCCCCACACUGGUACUGAGAUUGAGAUGACCAGACUCCUUUUGGAGGCAGCAGUAAGGAAUAUUGGUCAAUGGUUUAAAGUCUGAACCAGCCAUGCCGCGUGCAGGAUUAAGGCCCUAUGGGUCGUAAACUGCCUCUAUUUUGGACAAAACCCCCCUUUUUGUAGGGGGCUGAUGGUACUGUAAGAAUAAGGAUCGGCUAAUUGAGACGUGCCAGCAGCCGCGGUAAUUUUAAGGAUUCGAGCGUUAUCCGGACUCAUUGGGCUCAAAGGGUGCGUAGGCGGACUGAUAAGUCAGUGGUGAGAGCCUGUUGCUUAACAACAGAACUGCCAUUGAUACUGCCAGUCUUGAGUACAGUUGAGGUAGGCGGAAUGUGUCAUGUAGUGGUGAAAUAUUGAGAAGAUAUGACACAGAACACCGAUUGCGAAGGCAGCUUGCUAAACUGUAACUGUUUCUGAGGCUUUAAAGCAUGGGGAGCAAACAGGAUUAGAUACCCUGGUAGUCCAUGCCCUAAU
Molecule: ribosomal RNA, 760 nt
Filed under: uncultured bacterium
Lineage: Bacteria
Description: bacterial SSU rRNA
Rfam family: Bacterial small subunit ribosomal RNA
Source: RNAcentral